This 111-nucleotide non-coding RNA is filed under the name Ktedonobacter sp. RNAcentral describes it as "TPP sequence". It matches the Rfam family "TPP riboswitch aptamer (THI element)". Rfam says of the family: Vitamin B(1) in its active form thiamin pyrophosphate (TPP) is an essential coenzyme that is synthesised by coupling of pyrimidine and thiazole moieties in bacteria. Lineage: Bacteria; Bacillati; Chloroflexota; Ktedonobacteria; Ktedonobacterales; Ktedonobacteraceae. The record is from RNAcentral.
AUACGCUGCUAGGGGAGCCGAUUGGCUGAGAGGUAGUCGCAAAGGGCGUGCUGCUGACCCUAUGAACCUGAUCUGGAUAAUACCAGCGGAGGGAAGCGGCACACGGUCUGU